This 84-nucleotide microRNA precursor is filed under the name Bombyx mori (domestic silkworm). RNAcentral's name for it is "mir-2807 microRNA precursor family". It matches the Rfam family "mir-2807 microRNA precursor family". Lineage: Eukaryota; Metazoa; Arthropoda; Insecta; Lepidoptera; Bombycidae. The record is from Rfam by way of RNAcentral.
UUAACUUAAAUUUGUAUGGAGUUAGAAGGUUUGCCUACGUUGGCCGCUAGGGGCGCUGUUCCAACUGCUUACAAAUUUGAGUUA